GUGGACUCUUCGGUACAUCUUUAUUUCUGUCUUCCAUUUGCACAGCACAUCUUGACUAAACGUGGGCAGUCCAGGACGGGUAUAUUUCAGCUUCCUAUCAUCUGGAAUCAAGUCCUGCAGCACUCUUCUCUUGGGCCACUCUUUGGCCAGCUCUUCUCCAGCUAGCUCAUGGAGAUAGUAGAUUGCCACCUUCGCAGAUCUCCUCUGAACUCUACCUGUACCACUUUGCUC
RNAcentral lists this long non-coding RNA (231 nucleotides) under Gallus gallus (chicken). The record is from RNAcentral. Lineage: Eukaryota; Metazoa; Chordata; Aves; Galliformes; Phasianidae.